Molecule: long non-coding RNA, 1593 nt
Filed under: Dasypus novemcinctus (nine-banded armadillo)
Lineage: Eukaryota; Metazoa; Chordata; Mammalia; Cingulata; Dasypodidae
Description: lncRNA (ENSDNOG00000052786.1)
Source: RNAcentral
AGGGCCUGGUGACAGAUCUGGUCAUCCCCGAGGACCCAGCCCAAUGGCCCCCUCCCACUCUCAGGGACUGAGCCCUGCACCCACCCACCACCCAUUCCAGCUUGGCCAGGCCCGGACUCCACCACAUUUUUGUGCUGAAUUCAAUCCAGAGAUAUUCCUCAAGGGAUUCACUGUAGCAAGCAGGAAGCUAUCACAAGGGCUGAGGCCCAGCUGCCUUCAUUGUAGAGACAAGGCCUGAACCCACUUCUGUACAAUCCAUGACAUCCUGCUGCCAGACGCCUCAGUUUGGAAACCACACUUUGACGUCAACCAGCCGUGGAAGCGGGGACAAGUCAUUCCUCUCGGUCUUGAUUUUCCUCAUCUGUGAAAGAGAGCCAAACGUGACCUGAAAAAUCCCUCUGCAGUACAAAGUUUCCAAACCUUGACUGCCUCUAUUUGCCUGCUUUUUAAAAUAAAUAACAGAUGGAACUAAAAUCAAGUUAUUUAGAUUCUCCUGAUUUCCUAAGCUACAGGGACCGUGGAUCAAUCCUGCCAUGAUGUAUAAGGUCAAAGUGCAACUUACAUUUUUCAAAGAUACUAAGUAAUAAUUCUGGUGUUCUUGUUUAUUUGACAUAAUUUGCCAUCGCCUCAAAAAUUAAAACUGAAGUCCUUUUGAUUCUAUUUUAUAUUUUGAGUUUUUCUAUGUCCUUUGACUUAUUUAGAAUUGUAUUUUAAAUUUGCAUCCAAACGGAGAUUUUAUUUCUUUUUGUUUUGCCUUCUAAUUUAAUUGCACCCUAGUCAGUGAAUAUGCCCUGUAAGAAAUUUCUUUGAAAUUAUUGACACUUGAUUAGCAGAAUAGUAGAUGGGUCAUUUAUCUAAACAGUGUACCAUUUUUGCUUAGGAAGACAGUCUAUUCUUAGUUGGAUGCUGACAUAUAGGUAUGUUAAAUCAAGCUUGUUGUUCAAAUCAUUUAUAUUUAAAUCCUAUUAGUAUUUGAGACAGAGUUGAAAUACACUAUUUUUUGGUGAAUAUCUUUAUAUUUUGGGCAAAACUUAUUUGUGUAUAAAUUUAAAACACAUUUUCUGAUGAGUGAACUUUUAUCAUUAUGUGUGAAUCUCUCCUUCCCUAAUGACACCCUAAUGAUAAUUUUCUGUCUCAAAGUCUAUUUUGCUGUACCCAACCUUUUCUUUGGUUAGAAUUUGCCUGGUGUAUAUAUUGUCCUCUCUUUGUAUGUCUAAACUUCCUUUGUACUUAAUUCUUAGGUGUGUUACUUACUAAAGGCAUGUAUACUUAUUUGUUUCUUGUAUAUGCUACAAAUUUCCUUUGUGCAAAAAUCUAAAUACAGGUUCUAAACUUUCCUACUUUUUACACAAAGCCGUCAAUCCAUACACAAAGUUUUUGCCUUGUUUUUUCAUUUAACUUUCUAUCUUUCUUCUGCCAGAUUGCAUUGGGUAGUAACAUCAAUAAAAUGCUACAUGAUAGUAAUAAAGUACACAUCCUUAUCUUGGCUCUUUCUCAAGUAUAUUUCGUGCUUCCAUAUUAAGAAUGAUGAUUUGGGAAUUAGAUAGUCAUAUUUUAUAUUCUUUUAUUGAUUUUUAAAUUAAGAACUCAAGA